CCUACGGGCGGCAGCAGUGGGGGAUAUUGCACAAUGGGGGGAACCCUGAUGCAGCGACGCCGCGUGGGUGAAGGAGUAUUUCGGUAUGUAAAGCCCUAUCGGCAGGGAAGAAAUUGGACGGUACCUGACUAAGAAGCCCCGGCUAACUACGUGCCAGCAGCCGCGGUAAUACGUAGGGGGCAAGCGUUAUCCGGAUUCACUGGGUGUAAAGGGAGCGUAGACGGCCAUGCAAGCCAGGGGUGAAAGCCCGGGGCCCAACCCCGGGACUGCCCUUGGAACUGCAUGGCUGGAGUGCGGGAGGGGCAGGUGGAAUUCCUGGUGUAGCGGUGAAAUGCGUAGAUAUCAGGAGGAACACCGGCGGCGAAGGCGGCCUGCUGGACCGCGACUGACGUUGAGGCUCGAAAGCGUGGGGAGCGAACAGGAUUAGAUACCCUAGUAGUC
This 441-nucleotide ribosomal RNA is filed under the name uncultured bacterium. RNAcentral describes it as "partial 16S ribosomal RNA". It matches the Rfam family "Bacterial small subunit ribosomal RNA", at positions 338 to 795 of the family's 1533-position model. The record is from RNAcentral.